AGCUCCAAUAGCGUAUAUUAAAGUUGUUGCAGUUAAAAGCUCGUAGUUGGAUUUCUGGGUGGAGCGACCGGUCCGCCGCUGUGCGGUGUGUACUUGUGUACGACUCGACUCAUCCUUGUGGGGAAGCGUCUUCCGGCAUUCAGUUGUCGGGGCGGGGAACCGCAUCAUUUACUGUAGAAAAAUUAGAGUGUUUAAAGCAGGCAAAUCGCUGUGAAUACAUUAGCAUGGAAUAAUAACAUAGGACUUUGGUUCUAUUUUGUUGGUUGGAGGCCAAGGUAAUGAUUAAUAGGGACAAUUGGGGGGCAUCCGUAUUUCGUUGUCAGAGGUGAAAUUCUUGGAUUUACGAAAGACGAACAAACUGCGAAAGCACUUGC
This 374-nucleotide ribosomal RNA is filed under the name uncultured eukaryote. RNAcentral describes it as "SSU rRNA". It matches the Rfam family "Eukaryotic small subunit ribosomal RNA", at positions 587 to 958 of the family's 1831-position model. The record is from RNAcentral.